RNAcentral lists this ribosomal RNA (495 nucleotides) under uncultured bacterium. RNAcentral's name for it is "partial 16S ribosomal RNA". It matches the Rfam family "Bacterial small subunit ribosomal RNA", at positions 28 to 507 of the family's 1533-position model. The record is from RNAcentral.
GACGAACGCUGGCGGCGUGCCUAAUACAUGCAAGUAGAACGCUGAAGGAGGAGCUUGCUUCUCUGGAUGAGUUGCGAACGGGUGAGUAACGCGUAGGUAACCUGCCUGGUAGCGGGGGAUAACUAUUGGAAACGAUAGCUAAUACCGCAUAAGAGUAGAUGUUGCAUGACAUUUGCUUAAAAGGUGCAAUUGCAUCACUACCAGAUGGACCUGCGUUGUAUUAGCUAGUUGGUGGUGUAACGGCUUAACAAGGCGACGAUACAUAGCCGACCUGAGAGGGUGAUCGGCCACACUGGGACUGAGACACGGCCCAGACCCCUAAGGGAGGCAGCAGUAGGGAAUCUUCGGCAAUGGACGGAAGUCUGAACGAGCAACGCCGCGUGAGUGAAGAAGGUUUUCGGAUCGUAAAGCUCUGUUGUAAGAGAAGAACGAGUGUGAGAGUGGAAAGUUCACACUGUGACGGUAUCUUACCAGAAAGGGACGGCUAACUACGUG